AAACAGACAGAGACAACAAUCCACGUACAUUACAUUUACCUUCACUGAACAAACAUGGCCUGUCGUCUAACAGCUGUCGCCGUCGCCCUUUUCGCGAUGGGCGUGGGUGCUCAGAAUGGCCUUCCUGGGUACAGCUACGGCACCCCCAACGACCCCCUGGCGCCUGCUGGUCCUGGCGUGGAAGCGGAGACAGCUGACCCCAUAUCG
RNAcentral lists this long non-coding RNA (207 nucleotides) under Penaeus japonicus. RNAcentral's name for it is "uncharacterized LOC122264390". The record is from RNAcentral. Lineage: Eukaryota; Metazoa; Arthropoda; Malacostraca; Decapoda; Penaeidae.